Molecule: ribosomal RNA, 414 nt
Filed under: uncultured microorganism
Description: bacterial SSU rRNA
Rfam family: Archaeal small subunit ribosomal RNA
Source: RNAcentral
CAGCAGCCGCGGUAAUACCGGCGGCCCGAGUGGCGGUCACUAUUAUUGGGCUUAAAGCGUCCGUAGCCGGGUUGGGAAGUCCUCCGGGAAAUCUGGCCGCUUAACGGUCAGAAUGCCGGAGGAUACUCCCAGCCUAGGGAGCGGGAGAGGCCGAGGGUAUUCCCGGGGUAGGGGUGGAAUCCUAUAAUCCCGGGAGGACCACCGGUGGCGAAGGCGCUCGGCUGGAACGCGUCCGACGGUGAGGGACGAAGGCCAGGGGAGCAAACCGGAUUAGAUACCCGGGUAGUCCUGGCUGUAAACGAUGCGGACUUUGUGUCGGACAAGCUAUGAGCUUGUCCGGUGCCGGAGGGAAACCGUUAAGUCCGCCGCCUGGGGAGUACGGCCGCAAGGCUGAAACUUAAAGGAAUUGGCGGG